Molecule: ribosomal RNA, 655 nt
Filed under: Scytodes sp. 47 YFL-2022a
Lineage: Eukaryota; Metazoa; Arthropoda; Arachnida; Araneae; Scytodidae
Description: SSU rRNA
Rfam family: Eukaryotic small subunit ribosomal RNA
Source: RNAcentral
GAUACCGCCCUAGUUCUAACCAUAAACGAUGCCAACCAGCGAUCCGCCUGGGUUCCUCAAAUGACUCGGCGGGCAGCUUCCGGGAAACCAAAGUUUUUGGGUUCCGGGGGAAGUAUGGUUGCAAAGCUGAAACUUAAAGGAAUUGACGGAAGGGCACCACAAGGUGUGGGGCCUGCGGCUUAAUUUGACUCAACACGGGAAAACCUACCCGGCCCGGACACACGAAGGAUUGACAGAUUAAGAGCUCUUUCUUGAUUGUGUGGGUGGUGGUGCAUGGCCGUUCCUAGUUGGUGGAGCGAUUUGUCUGGUUAAUUCCGAUAACGAGCGAGACUCUAGCCUACUAAAUAGGCGUUCCGAUCACUUGCGUCGGACGCUCUUCUUAGAGGGAAGGGCGGCGUCUAGCCGCACGAGACGGGGCGAAAACAGGUCAGUGAUGCCCUUAGAUGUCCGGGGCCGCACGCGCGCCACACUGAAGGAAUCAGCGUGUGCUCUCCCUGUCCGCUAGGACUGGGUAACCCGUGGAACCUCCUUCGUGAUAGGGAUAGGGGCUUGUAACUGUUCCCCUUGAACGAGGAAUACCUAGUAAGCGCGAGUCAUUAGCUCGUGUUGAUUAUGUCCCUGCCCUUUGUGCACACCGCCCGUCGCUACUACCGAU